GCAUUGGCAUAUUAAUUGGAGGAAGGUCAAUGGAGGCAAGUGCAAAGAUGUAGAAUAUAUGUCAAAUGUCAAACAAGUGGAGCUGACAGAACCAAGAAUAAAGCUGUGAGAAUGGAGCUUAAAAUGCAGCUCUUGGCAUGCUUUGACUGCUAGCCCCAGAAUGGAAUAAAUGAUAAAUUCAACAGACAACUUCAAAAUGAAGGGAUUGAGAAUAUUUUGAUUAUAGUCAGUCAUAAUGCUUGCCUUGUAGUUUCGUCACUGAAUAUGAAGCAUUGACAAAACUAUUGCCCUCCAACCCGUUAAAAUAAUGGCAUUCAGAAUAAUAGUAUACAUUAGUUUAAGUAAAGCAAAACUAGAUGACUUGAAAAGCAGCGACAACAAAGAGGCCACCACAACCCUUUGAAUGAUGGCAAAAAGAAUAC
RNAcentral lists this long non-coding RNA (422 nucleotides) under Elaeis guineensis (African oil palm). Its description in RNAcentral is "long non-coding RNA (EGUI_LNC024321)". The record is from RNAcentral. Lineage: Eukaryota; Viridiplantae; Streptophyta; Magnoliopsida; Arecales; Arecaceae.